AUUGAACGCUGGCGGCAUGCCUUACACAUGCAAGUCGAACGGUAACAGGUCUUCGGAUGCUGACGAGUGGCGAACGGGUGAGUAAUACAUCGGAACGUGCCUAGUAGUGGGGGAUAACUACUCGAAAGAGUGGCUAAUACCGCAUGAGAUCUACGGAUGAAAGCAGGGGAUCGCAAGACCUUGUGCUACUAGAGCGGCCGAUGGCAGAUUAGGUAGUUGGUGGGAUAAAAGCUUACCAAGCCGACGAACUGUAGCUGGUCUGAGAGGACGAUCAGACACACUGGGACUGAGACACGGCCCAGACGCCUACGGGAGGCAGCAGUGGGGAAUUUUGGACAAUGGGCGCAAGCCUGAUCCAGCAAUGCCGCGUGCAGGAUGAAGGCCUUCGGGUUGUAAACUGCUUUUGUACGGAACGAAAAGCCCCGGGUUAAUACCCUGGGGUCAUGACGGUACCGUAAGAAUAAGCACCGGCUAACUACGUGCCAGCCGCCGCCGUAA
This 498-nucleotide ribosomal RNA is filed under the name uncultured bacterium. Its description in RNAcentral is "partial 16S ribosomal RNA". It matches the Rfam family "Bacterial small subunit ribosomal RNA", at positions 30 to 523 of the family's 1533-position model. The record is from RNAcentral.